GAUGAACGCUGGCGGCAGGCUUAAUACAUGCAAGUCGAACGGUAACAUGUCGGAGCAAUCUGAUGAUGACGAGUGGCGCACGGGUGCGUAACGCGUAUGCAACCUACCCAUAACCGGAACAUAACGUUGAGAAAUCGGCGCUAAUAUUCCAUGUGUAUAUUUUGUGGCAUCAUAGGAUAUAUAAAGAUUAAUUGGUUAUGGAUGGGCAUGCGUAUCAUUAGCUAGUUGGUAGGGUAACGGCCUACCAAGGCUGCGAUGAUUAGGGGUUCUGAGAGGAUAACCCCCCACACUGGAACUGAGACACGGUCCAGACUCCUACGGGAGGCAGCAGUAGGGAAUAUUGGGCAAUGGAGGCAACUCUGACCCAGCCAUGCCGCGUGAAGGAAGACGGUCCUAUGGAUUGUAAACUUCUUUUAUCAUAGAGUAACCGCAGGGACGUGUCCCUGCCUGCAAGUAUAUGAUGAAUAAGCAUC
This 473-nucleotide ribosomal RNA is filed under the name uncultured bacterium. RNAcentral's name for it is "bacterial SSU rRNA". It matches the Rfam family "Bacterial small subunit ribosomal RNA", at positions 28 to 494 of the family's 1533-position model. The record is from RNAcentral.